This 367-nucleotide small RNA is filed under the name Pseudoalteromonas rubra. Its description in RNAcentral is "cspA thermoregulator". It matches the Rfam family "cspA thermoregulator", at positions 62 to 428 of the family's 428-position model. Lineage: Bacteria; Pseudomonadati; Pseudomonadota; Gammaproteobacteria; Alteromonadales; Pseudoalteromonadaceae. The record is from Rfam by way of RNAcentral.
GUUGUUUUACACCGCGUAACACAACCUGCAGUAUUUAAGUUUCACCUCUACUUUUGAUGCAUUCACACCUAUCGAAGGUUAAUUUUUUAUUUAUAUUACAGGUUAAUACUAUGUCUAACACAGUUACUGGUACAGUUAAGUGGUUCAACGAGUCUAAAGGUUUUGGUUUCAUUUCUCAGGAAAAUGGCCCAGACGUAUUCGCUCACUUCAGCGCUAUCCAAGGCGACGGCUUCAAAACUUUGGUUGAAGGCCAGAGCGUAGAAUUCACAGUUUCUCAGGGUCAAAAAGGUCCUCAGGCUGACAAAAUCGUAGUUCUUUAAUUACUACGCAUUUUGCAAAAAAAGCGAGCUAAGGCUCGCUUUUUUCG